This 3103-nucleotide unclassified non-coding RNA is filed under the name Hevea brasiliensis (rubber tree). Lineage: Eukaryota; Viridiplantae; Streptophyta; Magnoliopsida; Malpighiales; Euphorbiaceae. The record is from RNAcentral.
AUUCCACCCAAGUUAAAAGAAUGUAUCGAGUCCUGCAAUAUAAAAUUGGUCAAUUUUUGUCCAUCCAUAUAUUAAAUUUUCCGCUAGACUAUAGAAUUACUGAACAAAUAAGAAGCAAAUCAAAAAAUAUAAAUUUGGUACAAGUGAUUCUAAGAGUGGCGUCAAGUUUGAAUCACCACCUAUACUAAAAAGAAAAGAAAGAAAAUUUGUUACAUGCAAAAUUUUUUACAUAUGGGCAUAUGCUUUAUCAAUCUUCAAAAUAAAUGAAAUAAGUGAAACAAUAAAACUAUGUUCCUCUAAACUUUUCGCCCUAAUUCGAUGUUGCCAUAAGAGUUCAAGCGCACCAGUGUUGCUUUCAUAUACAGGACUUCAAGAUAAAUCACUCCCUCUUUUGACGCUUGCUAGGACCAGCAAAUGAAGGGUCACCUAGUGGCCUGGAGGAAGUGCCAACAUCUGAGUCUGAAGCCUGUGUUGAAGCUUCUGUAUUACCAGCAUCUCUCCCUGAAGAUGCCACUUCUGAUCCCAAGGCUACAUUUUGAGCUAUGAAGGGCAUCAUUUGAUGAAGCAAAUUAGAGAUGAAAGCUCCUUCAAUACCCACUGUUGGUGUUGCCUCUUGUGCAUUAGCAGCAGCCACAUGUGGGGUAGAAUUUGUGGCCGUAGUCUGAAAGUCAACAUUACCACCAACACUGAUAGGUGAACUACGGUUAUGGUCACUAGGAAACUGAAAAUCACUUGUGCUAUCCAGAAUUUCAGAAUUCACAUCAUGAACUCCAUCUAAGACCGGAUGGAAUAAGCCCAUCAAACUAUGAGUCGAACUAGAAAAUGUUUGCCUAACUGAAGCAGGAAUUGCAGCAACCACAGUCCUAAUAGGAACUACCCGCACUUCAGACACCCUAAUGGAAGGCAGAUUCCCCAAGGAUGCAGCAGUUGCAUAGUUAACAGAAUCUGCAGCACCAGAAACAGCCGGGUUGGUUUGUCCGGUGGUUGGCCGUGGACUGUUAGAAUCCCUUUCACUGGGCAUAAAUGAGCCUGUUCGUAUCCUCACAUUGAUAUUCCUUGUAACUUCAGCAUUUCCAAUAGGGGUUGUCCCAAAACUUGUUCCAGAUCGGAAAGGGAAUGGCUGAACCAUCAUAGGAUUUGGGCCUAAAGUUGAUAUAAAUAGAGGAGGUCCAGAAUUUACCACAGCAUCAGCCGGUGUUUGGCCCACUCGUAAUGUCAUUAUUGUACGACCAAGUUCGAGUAGCAAAGCACCCAAAUUCUGGAAAAGAGCUCCAUAUCUAAGACUGUUUGCCUGAAAACUCAUCCGAACUGAUGGAUCUGUAACAUUUGCUUGAUCCUCUAGUUGUUGUGCAAGAUGAGAUAGGCAAUCAGCAACUUGUUCUAUCAAUAAUUGCCUCGUUGAAAACAGCACUUCUGCCAAAAAUGCUGGCCUUGAAAGCCCUCUUUCGCCAGCAGUUGAAGGGAGCGCAGGGUCCAAGUUUUGUUCAUUGCUCCCAUUAGUUGCAGCAAUGUGUGAAUUGUUUCCAUUUCCCCCAUUAGCCCCAAAUUCAUGUCUCAACUGGCCAAGAUACUGGGACAAAGUUGCCAAGGAAUCAGGAACCACAGGUGGCUGCAGAGUUGCUUGGUGCUGUUGUUGUCCACUAGAAUCUCCCAAGCCACUAUUAGAGGGUUCCCUAAGAUUAACUCCUUCACUGCCACUUCCAACACCAAUAGAAUUGAGAAAAGCUGAGACAAUCUGAUUAAAUGCUGGAAGAACCGCAUCUCCAUUUUCAGAAAUACUGAAGGCUCCAACUAAUACACUUGGACCUGCUCGAAUACCUUGACUAUGGAAAGCACUUGAGGGAUGAUCAGUUUCUGCAAAUGACACCAUUUACUUUAAACUUUCCUGUAAAAUUCAUUAAUUUAUGAAUAGUGUGAUCAAUGAUAAAAAUGAGAGCAAUCAAUGAUUUUCUUAUGUUUGCUUAAUUUAUUGUGCUAUAUUCUGUAUUACUGGCAUAUAUUUUCUCAAAAAUCACAAUCAUGUUAAUAAAUUCCAAUUUGUUUCCCUAUGCUUCAACAAAAUUGCAUAUGUGAUGACUAGAGUUUAAUGCAAAUAUAUGAAGUCAAAAUGUCUAUAAUUAAAUAACGUCCUACUCUAAAAUCAAACUGAUGGGCAUCCUUAAAGCACAACCAACCUGGAUCAUUAUUUGGUAAGCUAUCUGAUAAUGGGGGAAUUGGUUGUCUAACAACCAAAUGCAAAGUGUGACCAUCUUCCACAUCUAAACCAAAUGUAGCAAGAAACUUUUCCAAACAAACCAAGCAAUUUGUAGAGAAACUAUUAAUCAUGCAGAACAUAAAGCUAUUUUCCCUAGAGAUCAAACUUUCUAUUUGAUACACACAAGCUUCAUGUGUUACUUGAAUUAUCUACAAGAAAAUAAAAAUAUGCAGGCUUUAAUUACUUUGAGGAUAAAACUCCAAACAUACACUUCAUAUGAGACAUCAAAAUCCAAAAGACACACAAGGGCUGUGCCAAUAGAGUGAAAAAUUACAGCCACAAAUGGCAAAUUGAUUAACAAUGACACAUCUAAGAAAAUCUAAGGGUAACAGGAACCAAAAAUUAGAUGGAGACAGUGGAAUUAAAAAGCAAGUUAUUUCAAAUGUGCAAAAAGAAAUAUUCUUACUUAACCAAUUAAUAUCAGCCAUGGCAGAAAGGAAUAAGCCCAAAACAGUGAGAUAAGGAAAUUAACAAAUACAAAGGAUACGGUAUGCUGAGAGGAGUUGAUCAUCCUUCAAAACUCUUCCACGGCAUAUGAGGCGUUGUUGUUCAGACAGCACACCAGUAACAGUAGCAAUUUGUUCCUUAAGCUCAGGUACUGGAACACUUUUAUCCACACGCAAAGUAUAGGUUUGUGAAUCUAGAGUUUUGAUCUUUAUUUCAACAGUUGCCUCAGAAUAAUUUGUCCUUUGAUUCCCAGAAGCCAUAACUUGAUCACCACCACAAUCUUCCUUUUUGUUCAAAACCUGAAAAAUCCUUGAAGUAGAAAUGGAAUGUGGUGGUGAGAGAAUUUGCAAGCGAAGGGUGUAAAGAAAAUUUUGUAUAAAAAAUGGUAAGCUGGUGUGCUGU